Molecule: transfer RNA, 87 nt
Filed under: Ketobacter alkanivorans
Lineage: Bacteria; Pseudomonadati; Pseudomonadota; Gammaproteobacteria; Pseudomonadales; Ketobacteraceae
Description: tRNA-Leu
Rfam family: tRNA
About the family: Transfer RNA (tRNA) molecules are approximately 80 nucleotides in length.
Source: RNAcentral
GCCCAGGUGGUGAAAUUGGUAGACACGCUAGCUUCAGGUGCUAGUGGCUGAAAGGUCGUGGAGGUUCAAGUCCUCUCCUGGGCACCA